GCUUCAGAGGUAGCGGAAGGC
Molecule: microRNA, 21 nt
Filed under: Ananas comosus (pineapple)
Lineage: Eukaryota; Viridiplantae; Streptophyta; Magnoliopsida; Poales; Bromeliaceae
Description: microRNA s1286_c032b
Source: RNAcentral